UUUGUAAACAUUGUUUUUUAAAAGUGCUAUACAAAUAUAGUUAUAGUUAAUAAGGUAAAUAUUUGCCUCUGAGAUGUAGUAGAGUAGAAGUAAAGUGACAUAAUAAGACUCAAGCAAUAUACAAGUAGGCCUACUUCAACUGUGUACAGUACAGUAAAGCACACUAGUGGAGGGAAAUUCCUACAGGUGUGUUAGCUUCAGAUAGGGCUGAAAAUACAUCAAGGAGGACAUGUGUGAAAACAUAAAGAUAAGUAAAAGCUUUAAAAAUGCAGAUAUCCAUAACUUGAUAUAUCAGUCUGCAUUUUAUAUUCAACCCCAGUCAACAGUGACUGGGGGUUCUUCCAUAUUUUAAUGAGAUCAGGGCCAGUAUUGGCUAACCCAUAUAUCUGUCUGACCCCCGUUACGGCAUCCAUUCAUCAGACGGCCUGCAUUUUCUCCAGCUGAGCCUGUGAGGCAGCCAGAGAGGCCGGCAGGACUGUGAUCUGCCAUGCACAAAUACGCCAGGCAGAGGGAUGGGAAGGGAAGGGAGAGGCGAGAAGAGAGGAGCUGUGUCAGAGCUGUCUGCGCUGAGGCCUUCAACACUGUCAACAACACAGAGCUCUGAUGGAACCAGGCCGACUGCCGCUGCUGACGGAGCUGGAGCUGUUACAGCUCCUGAUUACCAGGCUGAGACUGACCCAAUCUGUCGGGACCUCCCAAGGGUUGGCCCCCUGGGUCAGGACCACCAAUCAGGAGCUAACAACUCAGAGGUCCUGGAGAGGCAGAGGGAAAAAUCCAAAGCAGACCCUGCACUGAGCUGAGAACUGCUCUCUUUGACAUCGACUCCAACUACCACGGUCUUCAGAGGAAGUGUGGCGAGAGAAGAAGUGCUCUGAAGCUUUGAAUAGUUGUACAUUUAAUGUUUUGUGUAUUGUUGAAAAGCAUUUCAAUAUUCAAAGAGAUGGAAAUAGAACAACAAAUAACUCAAGGGCUUAUUUAAAACUGUCACACAUUUGUCAUAAUAAGACAUUAUAAAGUUGACAGCUAACAGGUUAGCAAACGACACAUCCAGCAGCAAGAUUAGUAUUCAUUUGGAGUCGGGUUUCUGGAAACCUGAUGCUUUUUUUCCCUCCCCUCAGAACAAUAUCUGGGUGUUUAGCUUGCUGCUAGGACAGGUGUACAGUGGGUUUAUCUGGGCUUUCUCAUGAGAGCGGUAAGGCAGUUGUGGGCCUUAAAACCCAAAAAGUUAAAAUCUCUGUGGAGCUGAGGGGAACUGAGUGAUAAAUGCCACAGCGGCCCGGGAUUGAUUCCAGCCUGCGGCCGUUUGCUGCAUGUCAUCCCUUCUUCACUACCCCUUUCCUGUCUAUCUUCACCUGUCCUGUCACAUAAAGGCAAAAAUAAAAUCUGCAUCUAAAUGCUUCCUACUUUAUCAGAUUUUUUUAAAAUAACAUAUUUUGGCUAAAAUAGCAUUAUUCAUGUGUCCAUGAGUUUGACGUUCCACCCAGUCACACCCCUGUAUUUCUGCACUAAAAUACUCAGAGAGAGAGAGGUGGCAGUGUUUAAGGUUUUUAAUUUAAAUGCUGGUGAGUUAUGAUUUCCUUUUAUAUCAUUUUUUUGUUACAUUUUUCUUUCAAAAUCUCUGUCAAGCAUAACAUAUCCACCCUGUCAUUCAAAAACAUUGAAAACAUGUUUUUAAUGAAAUUUGGAUAAUAUAUGUAUUUGCAUAAAGCUUUUUUUUUUUCAUUUACCGGCAAGUGUGGUGUUAUUGUUAAUCAAUUAAAUUAGGUAAUUCAUUUUAGCCUUUUAGGCCUUUUUCACAGCAGCCAUUUUGACAUGAAAUAGUAGGUUAAACACAGGUGGUAUGAAUCGUACUAAUUACGGUUCCGUUCCAUUAAGUGUAUCAGAGCUUUUCCAGUGAGCCAACAUACACAAUAGCAGCAGCUGACUCUGUUUGACCUGAAUGGAACAGAACCUUAAUUAGUAUCACUGGUAACACCUGUCUUUACUCUACUAUUUCUUGUCAAACUGGCUGCUGUGAAAAAGGUCUAUUACUUCUCUCCCCCAGCACAGGGGUGGAGUGACAAAAAUAGUAAAAAAAAAAAAACAAACAAACAAAAAACAUACUUAAUGCUAUGAAAUACAAAAUUCCCCAUUUGUUUAUAAUCAAAGAUAUUAAAAUUCCAAGGUCCAAUCUGAGCAGUAUCCAUGGAAUGACCACAAAAUGUCGAUACGUGCUCCUUUAACCAACCCUCAACGGCAGAGGUCAUAAGAGUCAUUUUAGUUCUGAUCAUUUGUAACUGUACCUGUUUUGGCAGGCACUGACAAAUCACCUGUUUUGUUGUUAGGGGUGAUGGACACCAAAAAAACAUAUAUGUUUUCUAUUCAUUUUAUUUUCACUUAUUUGGUCAUAGAUGUGUCUCGUGAUUGUUCCUCUAAAGUAUACUAAAAGCAAUUUUUAGGUAAGAAGAAUAUAAAAACAAUUUCAUAUCAAUGCUCUCUUUGUUAUAAUAUGGCAUCCAAACACACUUUGUAUUGUUUUUAUGGCCCCUGCUCUCCACUCUGAUAAUUAAAAUUAGUAGACUAAAUUCACUCUGUGUUCGGAGGAAUUUCACACUUUUAUAUAUACUGUAUAAAUGUGAUAGUUGCCCACGGACUGCUCUCCCUUCUCCCCCUCCCACCUGUAGCAUUUUAAUCUUGGCACCUUCUCCUCCAUAACUAUCUUGGCUCGUAUCUGUGAGUGCUUCUUUUUUUCCAGAGCCCAACGCCUGCUCCCUCAUUCACUAAUCUCUAAUAAGAGCUCACGGCCCUGCUGGUCCACAGUUAACCUCUAGGCACUUGGGAGAUGCUCCACCGCCUCCUCUACAUAUGGCCGUUGUGGAUUUUGGGCGGCAGCCAGGGUGCCCUCUCGCGUCUGCCCGCCUGCCCACCCGCCAAACGCUGGCCCCGUACUGAGGCACAAAAGCAUUUGUAUGCCAGUCAUGUUUUGAAGGGGCCACUGGCUCUUUAAGACUGUGGGAAAGAGGGCAUUUCUACACUGAAACGGCCCCGUUUUCACACAUUCCUGAGGAGGGCAUAUUGAGCUCAUUAUCAUAGCUAACUACAAUGGCUCUUUGUGCGGGAUCUGGGAUUUGGGAGGGUGCCAAAUAUCCUCGGGUGCAUGUGUAGAUGCACAUGUGUGAAUCUGUCUUCAUAUUUUUUGUGUGUAAACUGAAACAACAGAUAUAGUCAAUAAUGCUUAAUGUGAAUGUGCUUGAUGUAUUACAAGAGUGUAAUAAGCUUCAUUUAAAGCAAAGCUUAGUUCUAUUGUUCUCACUAUGAAAACAACAAAAAAAGAUGCUAUAUUAAUUUCUAUCAUGGCAAUAAAAACUCUAAACAGUCGUAUUUAGUACGCUAUGUUGUAAAAAAGAUAAUAAUCAUGAAUUCAGUUAUUUACAACCCUGACAACCCUUGUCAAAACUUGUGUUUGGUUCUGGGCAGAAACGUGGUGGUUUAACAUGGCAGACUCCAUAGAAGAGGACACUCGCCCUCUCAAAAUUGCUAAUUCUGAGUAACAUUUCUUAUUUUCAGGUUAUUAUACACUAAUGAAAACACACCUAUGAAUAUUGUGUAACAGACGAUGCUUGAGGCUUGGUGUUGCUGCUAGUCACUCACAUAGCUCUCCAAGCUUCGUUCUCUUUUCUCUACAGUGUUGUUUACUCCCCUCUGGCAUUUGGCUCUCAGAAUUCAUUCAUUUCAUUUCAUUGAAUAAAAAGUUACUGACAAGGGGAAAACAAAUCUCUCUCAGAUUUGGAAAGCUCGCAAACUCAUGAGCUUGGUUGCUAAUGGGACAAAGAGUUUGGUGAGUUAGUUUAUUCAAAAGACAUAAUAGUACCAUCGACUCCUGUCUCAAACCAUGCUUCUUUAGUGGAGCAGCUUAUACUUUGAUAGAAGAGGUUAAAUAAAAGUGGAUGGUGCCACAAUGCUAAUAUGCUAUGAUAUACUUCCUCCAUUUUGGACUCCCUCGACAGUCACCAUUGAACCUUUAAAUAUAUAGAAAACUCUUAGUUUGGAUGGUCAGCUGAUGUUGUUACAGUGGCUGAAGACUUUCAGCAUGUUAAAAAGGAGAGGAAGCACGCACAGCAUGGGGCCCAACAAACCAUGCCAAUCUGGAGCUGCCCAACCUGUCUCCAACGCCUCUCCACGCUGCGCCAUCUUUCCUUGAACCAGACAUUAAAAAAUUGUGCAGAUUUACUUCUCUCCUACACAAAAUCUGGCUUUAAUUUCAGAAUUUCUGGUCCCACGACCAAAACAACAAUGUGUUUGUCUGUCUCUUAAUACUCUGUGACUUUCCUACCCUGGGCCAGAAGUCCACUGGUUCCUUCUGGAGACAUAAAUCUUUAGGAAUGGCUCACAAUUAUAUAGUUUGGUGUUUUUAAAAAGAAUCUGAUUUCGAGCAAACAUUACUCAUAGAAGUAAAUAGUGCAGACUACUUGUUGGGGCCUAUUUUAACAGUGGAUUAAUCUACAUUUGGUGCUCUAGUGAGUAUUUGGGGGCAGCAGCAUGAUAAGUUACAGUGUGUGUUCGUGGUAAUGAAGGAUCAUUUCACCCUGUGCAAAAGUGCGGCUCACUGAUGUGUUUUUGACAACAAUGGAGCUCUAUAGCACAGAGGAAGAAGCUACUUCAGGCUGUGAUACACACACAAUACUUGUUAGUCGAUAUACAUCCAUUGUUGAUUUUGAGUAUUUUGAUAGGAUUUGGUGACAAUAAGAAAAUACUGAAUAUCGACAAUGUUAUCCUUUAAGAGAAGCACUCCAAGUGUCGAGCUUUUGUGUUUGAAGAAUCAUUAGCACUGCUUGUGUUUGCAACCCUGGUGUGAUUGCAUGUGUAAUGGGGCAGGUAUGUUUGAGUCAAUGAGUAUGUUGCAGUAGUACUGAUGAUAUCGGGGGGCUGAGCAGCGUGUAUUAUGUUACACAGGAACACAUUAGCAGCCAGCCACUCUGAAAGUGGCGCCCUCGUUUCCUACAAGGAUGCUCCCAGCAGCCACACUGAUCGAAGCCGACAACAACAGCUUUCCCCCUGCUCCCCUUCCCCUAAAUACAUACGCACAUGCAAACGCGUCAGCAACAAAACAUUUUCCAUGACAAAAAUGGCGACAGCCGCAGAAUCAAUUCGAAUCUUCCUUCUCCAGUGACACCAAUGAAACAGAGCCCAGCAGAAGUUAUCGCAGCAGAUGCAGUGUGAGGCCAUCGUGUUUCACUAUGUAUUCC
Dicentrarchus labrax (European seabass) is the source of this 5225-nucleotide long non-coding RNA. NCBI's taxonomy places the organism in Eukaryota, Metazoa, Chordata, Actinopteri, Moronidae. The record is from Ensembl.